GAUGAACGCUGGCGGCGUGCCUAAUACAUGCAAGUCGAGCGAACGGACGAGAAGCUUGCUUCUCUGAUGUUAGCGGCGGACGGGUGAGUAACACGUGGAUAACCUACCUAUAAGACUGGGAUAACUUCGGGAAACCGGAGCUAAUACCGGAUAAUAUUUUGAGCCGCAUGGUUCAAAAGUGAAAGACGGUCUUGCUGUCACUUAUAGAUGGAUCCGCGCUGCAUUAGCUAGUUGGUAAGGUAACGGCUUACCAAGGCAACGAUGCAUAGCCGACCUGAGAGGGUGAUCGGCCACACUGGAGCUGAGACACGGUCCAGACUCCUACGAGAGGCAGCAGUAGGGAAUCUUACGCAAUGGGCGAAAGCCUGACGGAGCAACGCCGCGUGAGUGAUGAAGGUCUUGGGUUCGUAAAACCCUGUUAUUGGUGAAGAACGUAUGUGUAAGUAACUGUGGACAGCUUGACGGUACCUGAUCAAAAAGCCACGGCUAACUACGUG
This 497-nucleotide ribosomal RNA is filed under the name uncultured bacterium. RNAcentral describes it as "partial 16S ribosomal RNA". It matches the Rfam family "Bacterial small subunit ribosomal RNA", at positions 28 to 507 of the family's 1533-position model. The record is from RNAcentral.